GUGCUCGCUUCGGCAGCACAUGUACUAAAAAUUGGAAUGAUACAGAGAAGAUCAGCA
Molecule: small nuclear RNA, 57 nt
Filed under: Microcebus murinus (gray mouse lemur)
Lineage: Eukaryota; Metazoa; Chordata; Mammalia; Primates; Cheirogaleidae
Source: RNAcentral